AACGACGUUAGCGGCGCGCUUAACACAUGCAAGUCGAACGAGAAAGGGCUUCGGCCCCGGUACAGUGGCGCACGGGUGAGUAACACGUAGGUAACCUGCCCUUGAGUGGUGGAUAACAUUCCGAAAGGAGUGCUAAUACAGCAUAAGACCACGGUUCCAUCAAGGAACAGGGGUCAAAGCGGGCCUCUUCAUGAAAGCUCGCGCUUGGGGAUGGGCCUGCGGCGCAUCAGCUAGUUGGUGAGGUAAUGGCUCACCAAGGCGACGACGGGUAGCCGGCCUGAGAGGGUGACCGGCCACACUGGGACUGAGACACGGCCCAGACUCCUACGGGGGGCAGCAGUGGGGGAUCUUGCACAAUGGGCGAAAGCCUGAUGCAGCGACGCCGCGUGGGUGAUGAAGGCCCUCGGGUUGUAAAGCCCUGUGGGGAGGGAUGAAUAAGGUAUGGCUAAUACCUAUACUGAUGACAGUACCUCCUUAGCAAGCACCGGCUAACUCUGUG
Molecule: ribosomal RNA, 499 nt
Filed under: uncultured bacterium
Lineage: Bacteria
Description: bacterial SSU rRNA
Rfam family: Bacterial small subunit ribosomal RNA
Source: RNAcentral